GGACCCACAAAAAUAAAACCUUGACCUCAAAUCGGGUGAGACUACCCGCUGAACUUAAGCAUAUCAAUAAGCG
This 73-nucleotide ribosomal RNA is filed under the name Russula subrubescens. RNAcentral describes it as "partial 25S ribosomal RNA". Lineage: Eukaryota; Fungi; Basidiomycota; Agaricomycetes; Russulales; Russulaceae. The record is from RNAcentral.